AGAUUGAACGCUGGCGGCAGGCCUAACACAUGCAAGUCGAGCGGUAGAGAGGUGCUUGCACCUCUUGAGAGCGGCGGACGGGUGAGUGAUGCCUAGGAAUCUGCCUAGUGGUGGGGGAUAACGUUCGGAAACGGACGCUAAUACCGCAUACGUCCUACGGGAGAAAGCGGGGGACCUUCGGGCCUCGCGCCAUUAGAUGAGCCUAGGUCGGAUUAGCUAGUUGGUGAGGUAAUGGCUCACCAAGGCGACGAUCCGUAACUGGUCUGAGAGGAUGAUCAGUCACACUGGAACUGAGACACGGUCCAGACUCCUACGGGAGCAGCAGUGGGGAAUA
Molecule: ribosomal RNA, 334 nt
Filed under: uncultured soil bacterium
Lineage: Bacteria
Description: bacterial SSU rRNA
Rfam family: Bacterial small subunit ribosomal RNA
Source: RNAcentral